RNAcentral lists this ribosomal RNA (440 nucleotides) under uncultured bacterium. Its description in RNAcentral is "partial 16S ribosomal RNA". It matches the Rfam family "Bacterial small subunit ribosomal RNA", at positions 338 to 795 of the family's 1533-position model. The record is from RNAcentral.
CCUACGGGUGGCUGCAGUGGGGAAUAUUGCACAAUGGGGGAAACCCUGAUGCAGCGACGCCGCGGGAGUGAAGAAGUAAUUCGUUAUGUAAAGCUCUAUCAGCAGGGAAGAAAAUGACGGUACCUUAGUCAGAAGCCCCGGCUAACUACGUGCCAGAAGCCGCGGUACUACGUAGGGGGCAAGCGUUAUCCGGAUUUCCUGGGUGUAAAGGGAGCGUAGACGGCAGUGCAAGUCUGGAGUGAACGGCGGGGGCUCAACCCCGGGACUGCAGUGGCAACUGGCAUGCUUGAGUGGCUGAGGGGCAAGCGGAAUGCCUAGUGUAGCGGUGAAAUGCGUAGAUAUUAGGAGGAACACCGGUGGCGAAGGCGGCUUGCUGGACGGUAACUGACGUUGAGGCUCGAAAGCGUGGGGAGCAAACAGGAUUAGAUACCCUGGUAGUC